UCCCUCGUGGCGCAAUUGGCUGUUCGUAACUCCACAUCGUCUGUUUCGCCAACAUUAACUAACAGUUUGCAGAGCGCGUUUGACUGUUAGAGCUCAGGCUAGAGCAAUCAGGAGGUUGGUGGUUCAAGCCCACCCGAGGGAG
This is a non-coding RNA of Teratosphaeriaceae sp. CCFEE 6253, 142 nucleotides long. NCBI's taxonomy places the organism in Eukaryota, Fungi, Ascomycota, Dothideomycetes, Mycosphaerellales, Teratosphaeriaceae. The record is from the annotation of a GenBank genome assembly.